Molecule: long non-coding RNA, 1464 nt
Filed under: Gossypium barbadense (sea-island cotton)
Lineage: Eukaryota; Viridiplantae; Streptophyta; Magnoliopsida; Malvales; Malvaceae
Description: long non-coding RNA (GBAR_LNC005705)
Source: RNAcentral
CCGAUUGGAAAAGGGUUGUUUGAGAGAAAGAAAAGGGUUAGAAAGGGAUUUUUUUAAAAAAAACAAGGGUAAAAUGAUUUUUUUUAUUUUUUUACUUAUAUAGGGUUAUAAUACGACGCUGUUUUGGGUUUAACCUUCAAACGCCCAAAACGACGUCGUUUUGGCGCGACCCAAGACCUGACCUGAAUAUUAGCAAGAUCCGCGUGUUUUCGCGACAAGGCCUAAUUACAGCCUUAGUCCUUUCGCUUUUUAAACGCUUUUCAAUAUAGUCUUAUUUCUGUCUUUUUUUCUUUUUAAAAUUUAUACCGUUUAAUUCUGAUUUUUUAUUUAUUUUGGUCCCUCUGGAAAACGUGCGCAUUAUGAGGUUGGGAAUAUUUUUCCAAUCGGCCCCUUUUUUUUGUGUGUUAUAUUUUAGUCCUUUAUUUUGCUUUACUCAUUUAUUUAUUUUAUAUAAUUCAUUAGUUAAAUUUCAAUUUAAUCACCCAUUUAUUUAAUCUCACAUCUUUAAUUGCCUUUUGUAAGGCCCAAAUUUUGCUCGGGGCCUAAUAAAACCAAACCUAAUUUCAACCUUAGGCAGAGCCCAAAUAAAAAAAAAUUCCAAAAAAAAUAAUAAAACAGUCCAAUUAAUAAUACAUGGCCCAAAUUAAAACCCCCAUCGGCCCACAACCUAAACUAACCCUACCAGUCCACUAUCUCAAAAAUUUUCAGCAGACUACAAACUCAACCCCCACGUCAGCACUCCAGACAGGAUCCCCGUAUACCCCGCUCCAUGUUUUCGCCCAUGUUUCACGCCCCUCAUUCUCCACAACUUCAACACCUGCAAUUUGAGCAAAGAAAUAGGUAGAAAAUGUAUGGUUUUUGGCUAUAAAGGCUUCAAUUUUUCAUAGUAAAAGGGGGAUCCAAAAAUUGUAUCACUCGCGUAUUUUUCAAGGAAUCAAACAAAAAACACACAGAAGGUUGAUCUCCGAUUUUGUUCUCUUUAUUUUCGUUUUUCGUUUUCUUGCUUUUUUAAUAUUUCUUUUAUUUUUUAUACAAAUCUAUUAAACAAAGAUACAAAAAAUAAAAAAAAAUAAAAGGAAAGAGGAAGGAUUCUUACCAGAUCUGGCCCCGUCGCCGCGUUAUCGGAGCCUUCCCCUCCGUUCGACGUGGUUGAGUCUAAAAAGGGGGUUGAACCCUUGUCUUUUCGUUUUUGGAACUAGCCUCCAACAAGUAAAAAAGGGGAGAGCUAAAGGAGCCUAUUUUGGUGUAUCGCCGGCCACCGAGUGCGGUGGUGGCGCGGCGGUUGAAAGGCGGCAAUGAUGGGUUUCUUUGAAACCCUAGCAGAAAAUAAAAGAGAAGGGAAAGGGGGAGAGAGCAGGGAAACUCUCUGUUCUUUUUGUUUAAAGUUGGGGGAAGGCUGGUAAUGGAAUAAUAAAAUAAAAAAUAAAAAAAUGGAAAGUUGGUAAUGGAAUAAAAAAGGGAAAG